GUGGAGCAAGAGCGAGUUGUAUGUCUUAUCAUUUAUUGAUUAUUCUACUUUUAAAUCAUUUGGAGUUGGACGAAGUUGACUUACAUCGUUUGGAAAUUGGGAUUGUUCAAGAGUGUAGUGUUUAUAGUUAAAAGUUGAAGUGAAUGCAUAUCAGAAUCCAUGGCGGCGUGGGCGUUAGCUUUGUUGCUCUUCUUCAACCACCUACUCCUCCACGCGGCACCACAAACUAUCACCGAUCCUACACAAGGUUCAUUAAACAAGGACAUGCAAUGGAAUUUGGAGAAAAAUUUAUUGUCUGGGCCACUGUAGCCGUCUGUUGGUAAACUAACGCAAUUGAGUACACCUUGAACAUUCGCAUUAAUAAAUUAUCAGGGGAACUUCCGAAGGAACUUGGACAUUUUUCAUCUACUCUGUAAGAUAUCUGGCCUUUGGGACUAACACUUUCUCCGGUCCAUUACCAUCAGCGCUUGGAAAGCUCUUUAUGCUACAGGAACUGUACUUUGAUAGCUCUGGAGUGCAAGGCGAUAAUCCCACAACAUUUUCAAAUCUAACGAAUUUGCGGACAGUAUGGGCAUCGAAAUACCUGGAUUCAUUGGGGGCUGGCCAAAGCUCACUACUUUGUAAUACACUACUUUCUUAUGCUUAUUCCCACCCACCUUUUCUAAACACUACAAAACUAGAGAGAGAGAGAAUCUAUUAUUUCUAUUGUUCUUUGGAGGGGUAUAACACUUGUUACAAUACAACAAUCCAAUGGUUCACUCAUAUUGAGGAUGGAUUAAAAUACAAAGGAUCUCCCUCUCGUUGGGAUAUUGAAACGUUGGAACACAUGAGAUGCUUGUGGCCCACCUCGUUGAAACACCAUGGAUCACCCCUAACUUCUGAGGCCCACUCGUACAAAAAUAGCUCAACCCCUUAGCCAAACCCAGCUCCCGAUCAACCCCAUCGACCAUGCCUCGUGGAGCCAAAUAUUUCCCAUUCGUCUAACCCACCUCCAUAAAUGAAAGUCCACCUUGCUCACAUAAACUAAAGGCCACUAGCCCCCCCACCCCAUGUUAAGUCAACCUCCACAAUCCCACCUACUAUACCACUUCUUAUUUCCGAUCCACAAGUUGUGAUAGCAUAACAAGGAAAAGAACCAAAAAACCUUCCUCGUCCCAAGAAUAAAAUUCUCUACUAUCAGCUCUCACCAAGAAACUGAUGACGAAUAUACAUCUAGUUCUCUUCUCCUCUCCACAGCUCCGCAUCCCCUAUAGCGUGUUAGGUUUGAUUUAGAUUUAGAUUUGAUUUAGUUAUUUGAUUUAGAUUUCCUCGUUUUUCGUGUAUUCUGUAACGCUAUAUAAUAGCCAAUUUCAUUCUUCAAUAGAGUGUGAGAUUUCUCUCAAUUCUUCUAAUCUUUCCAGUUUUAUCUUUGUUCUUAACAUUUUGUAUUAGAGUCAUGCCCUAAACUUAGCCAAGUUAAAAAUAGAAGUAACAAUCUUCUACGUGUGUCAUAAUAAAAGUAUGUCCAUGGAGAGUUCAUUUGUGCAGCGUGCAAUUCCGAAAUUUGAUGGGUACUAUGAUCAUUGGGCGAUGCGCAUGGAAAACUUUUUGGGUUCAAAGGAGUACUGGGAUUUGGUGGAGAAUGGGAUUCCUGCAUCAACAGAAGACAUCGUUUUCACAAAUACCUAGAAGAAGCACAUUGAAGAUCAGAAGUUGAAAGAUUUGAAAGCAAAGAAUUGUCUAUUUCAAGCAUUAGAUCGUUCGAUCUUGGAGACAAUCCUCAACAAGGAUACAACAAAGAACAUAUGAGAUUCUAUGAAGCAGAAAUAUCAAGGUUCAACACGGGUAAAGCAUGCACAUUUGCAAGCUCUUCGGAAGGAGUUUGAAAUGCUUCACAUGAAGGCAGAAGAAUCUGUGGAUGAGUAUUUUGCUUGGACCCUUAGCAUAGCCAACAAGAUGAAACUAAAUGGUGAGAACAAAGGAGAUGUUGAAGUAGUUGAAAAGAUUCUGAGAUUAUAUUGUGUGUUUCAUUGAGGAGUCCAAGGAUACAACCAUCUUAACCAUUGAUGAGUUGCAAAGUCGCCUGCUUAUGCAUGAACAAUGCAUGAGUUCGAAUGUUGAAGAAGAACACGCUUUGAAGAUCACUCAUGGUGAACAAUCUGGAGGAAGGGGUCAAGGUCGUGGAAGUUUUAGAGGUAGAGGAAGGGGACGAGACAGACAAACCUUCAACAGGGCGGGCCACAGUGGAGUGCUAUAAGUGUCACAAGCUAGGACAUUUUCAAUGGGAAGGUCAAAGGAAGGAGAAGGAGACAAACUAUGCAGAGACUCAAAAAGCGAUGUUGCUGAUGGUUUACGUGAACAUGAAUAAGGCUAAUAGAGAAGAUAUGUGGUUCCUCGACUCGGGAUGUAGCAAUCAUAUGUGUGGGAAGAAGGAAUAUUUUUGAAAUUUUGAUGGAAGUUUCAGAGAUUCAGUGAAGCGGAGCAACAACUCAAGUAUGGUUGUAAUAUGAAUGGGUAAUGUACGGCUGCAAGUGAAUGGAGUCAUACAGAUAAUCACAGGAGUGUUCUAUGUGCCAGAGCGGAAGAAUAAUGUGUUGAGUAUUGGGAAAUUGCAAGCAAAGGUGCUUACCAUUUUGUUUCAAAAUGGAACGUGCAAGGUGUUUCAUCCUAAGAGAGGCUUAAUCAUGGAGACAAAGAUGUCUUUGAAUUGAAUGUUUGUAUUGUAUGCUAUAUCUCAGCCUUUAACAUCCACUUGUUUCAAUACAAUCACAGAAGAUAUUGAGCAACUUUGGCAUGUAGAUAUAGACGGAUUAAAGACUCCACCAAAAGAAGAGGUGGAUGGUUUACCACCACUCAAGUCUCCAUUGAGACUAUGUAAAAAUUGUCUAGUGGGUAAGCAACAAAGGCACUCGUUUCAAAAAAGGAGCACAUGGCAAGUUUCACAAAUUCUCCAAUUGGCGCAUGCUGAUAUUUGUGGACCGAUCAA
Molecule: long non-coding RNA, 2965 nt
Organism: Cucurbita maxima (winter squash)
Lineage: Eukaryota; Viridiplantae; Streptophyta; Magnoliopsida; Cucurbitales; Cucurbitaceae
Exons: 6
Source: RefSeq, a predicted model, not a curated record